This 253-nucleotide ribosomal RNA is filed under the name uncultured bacterium. Its description in RNAcentral is "partial 16S ribosomal RNA". It matches the Rfam family "Bacterial small subunit ribosomal RNA", at positions 524 to 776 of the family's 1533-position model. The record is from RNAcentral.
UACAGAGGGGGCAAGCGUUAUUCGGAAUUAUUGGGCGUAAAGGGCUCGUAGGCGGCUUGGCAAGUGGAAGGUGAAAUCCCUCGGCUUAACCGAGGAACUGCCCUCCAAACUGCUUCGCUUGAGACCGGGAGAGGUGAGUGGAAUUCCCAGUGUAGCGGUGAAAUGCGUAGAUAUUGGGAGGAACACCAGUGGCGAAGGCGGCUCACUGGACCGGUACUGACGCUGAUGCGCGAAAGCGUGGGGAGCAAACGGG